RNAcentral lists this ribosomal RNA (460 nucleotides) under uncultured bacterium. RNAcentral's name for it is "SSU rRNA". It matches the Rfam family "Bacterial small subunit ribosomal RNA", at positions 26 to 518 of the family's 1533-position model. The record is from RNAcentral.
AGAAUCAACGCUGGCGGCGUGCCUAACACAUGCAAGUCGCACGGGAAAGGGGAGCAAUCCCUGAGUAAAGUGGCGCACGGGUGAGUAACACGUGAAUAAUCUACCUCCGAGUGGGGAAUAACUGAGAGAAAUCUUAGCUAAUACCGCAUAACACUUACGAGUCAAAGCAGCAAUGCGCUUGGAGAGGAGUUCGCGGCCGAUUAGUUAGUUGGCGGGGUAAUGGCCCACCAAGACGAUGAUCGGUAUCCGGCCUGAGAGGGCGCACGGACACACUGGAACUGAAACACGGUCCAGACUCCUACGGGAGGCAGCAGUGGGGAAUUUUGCGCAAUGGGGGAAACCCUGACGCAGCAACGCCGCGUGGAGGAUGAAGCCCCUUGGGGUGUAAACUCCUUUCGAUCGGGAAGAUAAUGACGGUACCGAUAUAAGAAGCCCCGGCUAACUUCGUGCCAGCAGCCGC